This 454-nucleotide ribosomal RNA is filed under the name Streptococcus constellatus. RNAcentral's name for it is "bacterial SSU rRNA". It matches the Rfam family "Bacterial small subunit ribosomal RNA", at positions 39 to 469 of the family's 1533-position model. The record is from RNAcentral. Lineage: Bacteria; Bacillati; Bacillota; Bacilli; Lactobacillales; Streptococcaceae.
GCGGCGUGCCUAAUACAUGCAAGUAGAACGCACAGGAUGCACCGUAGUUUACUACACCGUAUUCUGUGAGUUGCGAACGGGUGAGUAACGCGUAGGUAACCUGCCUGGUAGCGGGGGAUAACUAUUGGAAACGAUAGCUAAUACCGUAUAAGAACAUUUACUGCAUGGUAGAUGUUUAAAAGGUGCAAGAGCAUCACUACCAGAUGGACCUGCGUUGUAUUAGCUAGUUGGUGAGGUAACGGCUCACCAAGGCAACGAUACAUAGCCGACCUGAGAGGGUGAUCGGCCACACUGGGACUGAGACACGGCCCAGACUCCUACGGGAGGCAGCAGUAGGGAAUCUUCGGCAAUGGGGGGAACCCUGACCGAGCAACGCCGCGUGAGUGAAGAAGGUUUUCGGAUCGUAAAGCUCUGUUGUUAAGGAAGAACGUGUGUGAGAGUGGAAAGUUCACAC